This 253-nucleotide ribosomal RNA is filed under the name uncultured bacterium. RNAcentral describes it as "partial 16S ribosomal RNA". It matches the Rfam family "Bacterial small subunit ribosomal RNA", at positions 524 to 776 of the family's 1533-position model. The record is from RNAcentral.
UACGUAGGGUGCGAGCGUUGUCCGGAAUUAUUGGGCGUAAAGGGCUCGUAGGCGGUUUGUCGCGUCGGGAGUGAAAACCAUGGGCUUAACUCAUGGCUUGCUUUCGAUACGGGCAGACUAGAGGUAUGCAGGGGAGAACGGAAUUCCUGGUGUAGCGGUGAAAUGCGCAGAUAUCAGGAGGAACACCGGUGGCGAAGGCGGCAUCCUGGACCGGCAUUGACGCUGAGGCGCGAAAGCCAGGGGAGCAAACGGG